ACUCCUACGGGAGGCAGCAGUAGGGAAUUUUGCGCAAUGGGGGAAACCCUGACGCAGCAACGCCGCGUGGAGGAUGAAGUCCUUCGGGACGUAAACUCCUUUCGAUCGGGACGAUUAUGACGGUACCGGAAGAAGAAGCCCCGGCUAACUUCGUGCCAGCAGCCGCGGUAAU
This 172-nucleotide ribosomal RNA is filed under the name uncultured Acidobacteriota bacterium. RNAcentral's name for it is "uncultured Acidobacteria bacterium partial 16S ribosomal RNA". It matches the Rfam family "Bacterial small subunit ribosomal RNA", at positions 335 to 524 of the family's 1533-position model. The record is from RNAcentral. Lineage: Bacteria; Pseudomonadati; Acidobacteriota.